GAUGAACGCUAGCGGCAGGCUUAACACAUGCAAGUCGAGGGGCAGCAUGUCCAGCAAUGGAUGAUGGCGACCGGCGGAAGGGUGCGUAACGCGUGAGCAACAUGCCCUAUACAGGGAGAUACACCAGGGAAACUUGGUCUAAUAUCCCAUAGCAUUCAUUGAAGGCAUCUUUAAUGAAUUAAAGCUUCGGUGGUAUAGGAUUGGCUCGCGUGACAUUAGCCAGAUGGUGAGGUAACGGCUCACCAUAGCAAUGAUGUCUAGGGGUUUUGAGAGGAAGGCCCCCCACACUGGGACUGAGACACGGCCCAGACUCCUACGGGAGGCAGCAGUGAGGAAUAUUGGACAAUGGAUGGAAAUCUGAUCCAGCCAUGCCGCGUGCAGGAAGACGGCCUUAUGGGUUGUAAACUGCUUUUAUACGGGAGCAAUAAGGGUUACGAGUAAUCCGAUGAGAGUACUGUAUGAAUAAGGAUCGGCUAACUCCGUGCCAGCAGCCGCGGUAAUACGGAGGAUCCGAGCGUUAUCCGGAAUUAUUGGGUUUAAAGGGUGCGUAGGCGGCCAUUUAAGUCAGCGGUGAAAUUUUGCAGCUUAACUGUAACAGUGCCGUUGAUACUGUUUGGCUAGGAUUUGGUUGUAGUGUGCGGAAUGUGUGGUGUAGCGGUGAAAUGCUUAGAUAUCACACAGAACACCGAUUGCGAAGGCAGCACACUAAGUCAUUAUUGACGCUGAGGCACGAAAGUAUGGGGAUCAAA
This 749-nucleotide ribosomal RNA is filed under the name uncultured bacterium. RNAcentral describes it as "bacterial SSU rRNA". It matches the Rfam family "Bacterial small subunit ribosomal RNA", at positions 28 to 772 of the family's 1533-position model. The record is from RNAcentral.